CACGAGGCAUCCAUUUUGAGAGCACGGGGUGUAGCAGCCGUAGGGCAGCUUUGCAGGCAACCAGAAGUGUGAAGAAAAUAAAGCAACUAGAGGUUUUUGCGAAGCUGAUGUGCUCAUUCCGCUUUUAGCCCACUGGUUUCAAAGGGAGGCGCACACGCACUCUUUCCACAUGAUCCAGUCAUGGAUUCAGACCGCAGGCCAAGGCCACAAGCAACAGUGCCCCUGCUACAUCUGCCUCGGCCCCUGGCGGCUGCCUUCCAAGAAGUGCUGGAACAGCGGAAGCAGCUAGCAGCGCGGAUGACUCAACCAAGGCGGAUGAGUGGCAGAACGAGGAUUCAAGGCCAGGUCCGUCCCACUCCUGAGCUGAAGCUCUCAGCCAUCAUGUUAAAUUGAAUCUCAGUCCUCUGCUCCGUGUAUCCAUUUUUAAGUGCUGUGCGUGGUGUGUUCAGCAGAUGGAAACGGCACUGUCGCCCCGUGUAGACCGAAGGCAGGGCCUAGCCGGCAGACAACCUGCUUCCCCAGCUGCUUCUGUCCUGUCUAUGCAGCCUCCCCUCCCCCCGGUUCCUAAAUCACUCCCAGGUCCUUUGUUCUGCCCACAGCUGCUCAGCAAAUUCCUUGAUUUGAAAUUAUGAUCACAGGUUGGAGUGCUACUUAAAAUAAUUUUGCCAAAUGUUCCAUCUCUCUGCAUUGAUGAAUAUAAUGAAUGAAAAUUUAAAGAGGGGGAAAAAAAUUUAAGAAUUCACUUUGUUGAAGACAAAAAAAAAAUGAC
Molecule: long non-coding RNA, 769 nt
Organism: Equus quagga
Lineage: Eukaryota; Metazoa; Chordata; Mammalia; Perissodactyla; Equidae
Exons: 3
Source: RefSeq, a predicted model, not a curated record